UCCUCAACGCUCAGGUGCUCAGACACAGGCAGGGCGUGGGUAGGUAGGAGGGUGCAAGGAGCACAAGAGAUGUGUUUGCAGGGGACAGCUUCCAGCCCUGGCUCAGCGGAUCCAGGAGGGGCCUGGCGGGUAGUGUUGAAGGACAUGUGGUAGGUGAGGUGGGGGUUUCCAGGAGGUUCUGGUAUCAGUGCACUGGCACUAGAGCGAGGGAGCUGGAGGAUAGGACAUCAUGUUGAGGGUGAUGAGAGGGAGGAAGGCUAGAAACAGGAGAGCAUGAGGGGCGCGGUCUUUCCUGAUGCCCGGGCGGGACCAUGGGCAGGGGGAUAGCUCGGUGAGGAGGAGGGAAACAUCGAAGAGGACGGAGAGUCUCCAGGAUGACCGGGUGAGCCUCGUGGGCAAUGAGGACGGAUCAGAAGAGUGAGGGCUGAGAGAACAGCAGCAAAAAGGAGUCAUUAUCGCAGAAUAGGAUCAUCAUCCUCUUCAAUUCAGGAAACUAAGUCACGCAGACUGUGUCUCCACCAGGUGCCAUCAACCCAUGGAAGAAACUGCCAGUUCCUGUGAUGGCCAGUGGAGGGAGCGACCCCACUGCUGCUUCUACUUGCUACAGAUUCAACUGUGAUGACUGACUUCCUUCACUACAACUCCUCUGAGCAGAACACACCUAAAUAUGAAAUGAAGUAUGUGCCUGUGCACGUGGCAGUCAUCUGCUUGCAGGGGACAGUUCCGAUCAUCCCUAACCAAUCCAGCCACAGUUGGAGGAGACAUAGCAUCUGGUCCCUGCUUAGAACUACUUCCUCAGUGAAUGAAGGACCGGGACUCAAGAGAGCCAGGAAAAGCCUCGAUGAAUAUGUGCUGCCAGAAGCAAUGUGCCUGCCUCCCUGCUACACCUGUGAGACCCCUGGGGGUCCUGUUCUUCUCGUCCUUGGGGCAGGACCUCCCUCCACGCAGGGAGAGGGCCUCAAGUUGCAGCUGCCUCAGUUUCAGCCACACCUCCAGCCCAGCGGCUCCGUGACCUGGGACUCAGGACUCACCUGGCUUCACUUCAAAGUGUAAACGCCUGUCUUUAAAGGAAUGUAGGUAUUUUCAAUGUUUAGACUUUACUUUGGGCCUCAAGUUUUUUUGGCACCCACAUUGAGUACGAAUUGUUGUGGCUUCUGAAACACAAGUUCACAAUUUUUGAUGAAUUUGGUUGUGCCAAUGGAAACAACAUGAAACAUACUGGAGUGUGAAGUCAAGUGGGCCUUAGGAAACAUUACUGUGAACAAAGCUGGUGGAGUUGAUGGAAUCCUGGCUAUUUCAAAUGCUAAAAGAUGACACUGUUAAAGUGCUGCACUCAAUAUGCCAGCAAAUUUGCUAAACUCCGCAGUGGCCACAGGACUGGAAAGGUCAGUUUUCAUUCCAAUCCUAAAGAAGGGUCAUGGCCAAGGAAUGUUCAAACGACUGCACAACUGCACCCAUUUCAGAUGCUAGCCAGGUCAUUCUCAAAUCCAUCACGUUAGGAUUCAAUGAUAUGUGAACAGACAAGUACCAGAUGUACAACGUAGAUUCCAAAAAGGCAGAGGAACCAGAAAUCCAACUGCCAACAUCCAUUGGAUCGUAGAAAAUGCAAAGGAAUUCGGGAAACAAUUCGUUGACUACGCUUCACGACCUUAGAUAAUCACGAUGGUGUGAUCACUCACCUAGAGCCAGACAUCCUGGAAUGUGAAGUCAAGUGUGCCUUAGAAAGCAUCACUAUGAACAAAGCUAGUGGAGUUGAUGGAAUUCCAGUUGAGCUAUUUCAAAUCCUAAAAAUGAUGCUGUGAAAGUGUUGCUUUCAAUAUGUAAGCAAAUUUGGAAAUCUCAGCAGUGGCCACAGGACUGGAAAAAGUCAGUUUUCAUUCCAAUCCCAAAGAAAGGCAAUGCUAAAGAAUGCUCAAACUACCACACAAUUGCACUCAUCUCACACGCUAGUAAAGUAAUGCUCAAAAUUCUCCAAGCCAGGUUUGAGCAAUACAUGAACUGUGAACUUCCAGAUAUACAUGCUGGUUUUAGAAAAGGCAGAGAAACCAGAGAUCAAAUUGCCAACAUCCACUGCAUCAUUGAAAAAGCAAGAGAGUUCCAGACAAACAUCUAUUUCUGCUUUAUUGACUAUGCCAAAGCCUUUGACUGUGUGGAUCACAAUAAACUAGAAAAUUCUGAAAGAGAUGGGAAUACC
RNAcentral lists this long non-coding RNA (2194 nucleotides) under Bos indicus x Bos taurus (hybrid cattle). RNAcentral describes it as "lncRNA (ENSBIXG00000007775.1)". Lineage: Eukaryota; Metazoa; Chordata; Mammalia; Artiodactyla; Bovidae. The record is from RNAcentral.